UACGUAGGGUGCAAGCGUUGUCCGGAAUUACUGGGCGUAAAGCGCGUGUAGGCGGCUAAGUGUGUCGGGCGUGAAAUCCCACGGCUCAACCGUGGAAGUGCACCCGAAACUACGUAGCUAGAGUCCUGGAGAGGAAGGUGGAAUGCUUGGUGUAGAGGUGAAAUUCGUAGAUAUCAAGCGGAACACCGGUGGCGAAGGCGGCCUUCUGGACAGUGACUGACGCUGAGACGCGAAAGCGUGGGGAGCAAACAGG
Molecule: ribosomal RNA, 253 nt
Filed under: uncultured bacterium
Lineage: Bacteria
Description: partial 16S ribosomal RNA
Rfam family: Bacterial small subunit ribosomal RNA
Source: RNAcentral